Molecule: ribosomal RNA, 253 nt
Filed under: uncultured bacterium
Lineage: Bacteria
Description: partial 16S ribosomal RNA
Rfam family: Bacterial small subunit ribosomal RNA
Source: RNAcentral
UACGAAGGGAGCUAGCGUUGUUCGGAAUCACUGGGCGUAAAGCGCACGUAGGCGGAUGUGUCAGUCAGGGGUGAAAUCCCGGAGCUCAACUUCGGAACUGCCUUUGAUACAGCACGUCUUGAGUCCGAUAGAGGUGGGUGGAAUUCCUAGUGUAGAGGUGAAAUUCGUAGAUAUUAGGAAGAACACCGGUGGCGAAGGCGGCCCACUGGAUCGGUACUGACGCUGAGGUGCGAAAGCGUGGGGAGCAAAAGGG